UUGACAUCUGACCUCAAAUCAGGUAGG
RNAcentral lists this ribosomal RNA (27 nucleotides) under Pseudolagarobasidium acaciicola. Its description in RNAcentral is "partial 28S ribosomal RNA". The record is from RNAcentral. Lineage: Eukaryota; Fungi; Basidiomycota; Agaricomycetes; Polyporales; Cerrenaceae.